Molecule: long non-coding RNA, 491 nt
Filed under: Sorghum bicolor (sorghum)
Lineage: Eukaryota; Viridiplantae; Streptophyta; Magnoliopsida; Poales; Poaceae
Description: long non-coding RNA (SBIC_LNC018250)
Source: RNAcentral
CAGCACUGCUCUUGGUCAUCAAUUUGCUGGUUCACUCUAGCUGGCAGUGAUGACACGUAUGUUUUAGUUUUUUUUUAAAAAAAAUUGGUUUUAUAAUAUUUUGGGUUCUAAUUGGCCAUUUUAAUUCAAAUAUUCUAAAAAAAGAUCAAAAUAACGAUAAACAUUACAAAUAUCUGGUACACUACAAUUCAAGUGGUAUACAAGACCUCGAUCACUAAAAUUAAAAAAAAAAGAAAUUACAAGAGUCUAGGGAGCCACCCAAAUUUGUCCUUGUAGGUUUAGGCUCGUGCAAUGGGAUAUGACUCAUCACUGUCGGUUCUGUCAUUUCCAGCAGUGAUAUCGCCGACAGUGAUGGAGUGUUCUAUAGUAGUAAGACUUCUGUAGGGCAGUGCCAUUUGUGUCUGGAUAGAAGUAGUGCAAGUUAUUUCACACCUUUCUCCUUAACCAUUACUUCCUUCAUCUCAAAAUAAAUCAAAUUUAAAAUUAUCCUA